UGGCUGAAGCAGUUCUCAGGGCGAUUUGCUGGUGUGGGUGUUUCUUACCUAAGUGCACAGGUGAGAGACUGCCCGCAUCCAUGAUUGUUCCUGGGGCUGCUAAUUUGCCGCAGCUGCUAUGCCCUCUCGAUAUAUAGAAGUGCGAGUCAGCUAGAGAGAAUAAAAUGAAGGACGGAGGGAGGGAGGUUGCUGGAGAGCAGGAAGCAGGGUGGUGGAAGAGCCGGUGUGAGCGAGUGAGCAGGCUCGAAUGAGAGAAAGCUGGGAGGUGAGCCCAUGAGGGGAGUGUUUUGCCAACACUCAGUGGGGCUGAAGGAAGCGGUCGCUCCAGCUGAGCGAUUUAGGAGCUGGAGUGACCAGUAGAGGAGACGACUGACCGUUGAAAGGAGCAGAAGUCGAGGAGGCUUUGGGCUGGUUUAGCUCUAGCGUGAGUGCCUUGGCCACUGGGGAAAUAACUCAAGUCUCGGUCCGGUUUGGAGACCGACGUAGCCAGGGAUCGGAGGGCUACCGGACCAGAGUGAAAGGCAGCUGUUCCCGCAGUAGCAUAGUCGGUAGGAUCAUUUCCGCAGAUUAUCAAACCAGUAUUGAGGGUUCAGGUGGCUAAUCAUCCGUCCCAACUCACCAACUCGAAGGCUCAUAAGGCAGCUUGGAUGACUUUCCACAAGGAAUGUGCAUUUGGGCCUCCCCAGCCCAUUCUUCCUGAAUGCAAUGAGUCAGGUGGAAGAGGACAAAGCUCACCUGGAGGAGAGGAAGGAGAGGAAAGACAAAGAGAAGGAAGAAGAUUAUUGUUUGUAUUUUGUGUUUGUAUGACAUUUGAGAGUAGCCUGUGAGAGGUAUUUAUGAAAAAUAAAAUCUUUAUUUGAACUUAA
Molecule: long non-coding RNA, 866 nt
Organism: Erpetoichthys calabaricus (reedfish)
Lineage: Eukaryota; Metazoa; Chordata; Cladistia; Polypteriformes; Polypteridae
Exons: 3
Source: RefSeq, a predicted model, not a curated record